Molecule: ribosomal RNA, 440 nt
Filed under: uncultured bacterium
Lineage: Bacteria
Description: partial 16S ribosomal RNA
Rfam family: Bacterial small subunit ribosomal RNA
Source: RNAcentral
CCUACGGGAGGCAGCAGUGGGGGAUCUUGCACCAUGGGGGAAACCCUGAUGCAGCGACGCCGCGUGUGGGAAGACGGUCCUCUGGAUUGUAAACCACUGUCCCCAGGGACGAAGAUGACGGUACCUGGGGCGGAAGCUCCGGCGAACUACGUGCCAGCAGCCGCGGUAAUACGUAGGGAGCGAGCGUUGGCCGGAAUUACUGGGUGUAAAGGGAGCGUAGGCGGGGAUGCAAGUUGGGUGUCAAAACUACCGGCUCAACUGGUAGUCGCACUCAAAACUGCAGCUCGUGAGUGAAGUAGAGGCAGGCGGAAGUCCUGGGGUGGCGGUGAAAUGCGUAGAGAUUAGGAGGAACACCAGUGGCGAAGGCGGCCUGCUGGGCUUUUACUGACGCUGAGGCUCGAAAGUGUGGGGAGCAAACAGGAUUAGAUACCCCUGGAGUC